AUUAAUAACCGAGGUCGUGUACCUCAAAAUUUAAA
This 35-nucleotide non-coding RNA is filed under the name unclassified sequences. The record is from Rfam.